UCACACUUUUCCCCACACCUACCCCUUCUUUCUCUUUCCUCAUGGUUCCUCCCUUUUUUUUUUCCAUUUUCUUACCCCCAAAACACCACUUUUUCCUUCAUUUUAUCUCAUUUUCUCAACCCUAAACACCAUUUUCUCUACAUUUUCUCUCAUUUUCUCAACCCCAAACACCCAUUUCUCUCCAUUUUCUCAAACCCCAAACACCCAUAUCUCUCUAUUUUCUCUCAUUUCUUUCCUUUUUCUCUUACAUUCUCUCUUAUUCCCACAUCUAUGUGUCCCCCUUUCUUAAUCUCAACAUUUCUAACAUAUAGAUCCACCCAUGACAAUCGUCAUGGAUGCUCAUCCUCGUCAUAGAUCCAACAUCAUGGCUAAGACUCCAUCCAUGACACAACCGGCGACCACACUUCAUGAAUGCUUGGAUCUCAUAACGUCAUAGUCUCGAUGUAGCCACCACAUCUUCUCCAUCUUACUUUGUAUCUCAUUAUGGAAUAAAUAGAUUUGAAUGCAAUUAGGUUUUCAUUUUUUUAGUUUUUUGGUUGAUUAUUGUGUAGUUGGACAUGGAUGUAUUGGGAUUUUGAUAAAUUAGUUUUAAUGGAAAGACUUUGUGAUUUAAUUAAAUUUGUUUGGUUGGUACCUUGGCUUACAACCUAGGUAAUGUUUGAUUUUCUAUGGAUUAAUUAAGCUUUAUUUGGG
Molecule: long non-coding RNA, 693 nt
Filed under: Vitis vinifera (wine grape)
Lineage: Eukaryota; Viridiplantae; Streptophyta; Magnoliopsida; Vitales; Vitaceae
Description: long non-coding RNA (VVIN_LNC000979)
Source: RNAcentral